RNAcentral lists this ribosomal RNA (1491 nucleotides) under Bacillus sp. (in: firmicutes). Its description in RNAcentral is "bacterial SSU rRNA". It matches the Rfam family "Bacterial small subunit ribosomal RNA". Lineage: Bacteria; Bacillati; Bacillota; Bacilli; Caryophanales; Bacillaceae. The record is from RNAcentral.
GCUCAGGACGAACGCUGGCGGCGUGCCUAAUACAUGCAAGUCGAGCGGACAGAAGGGAGCUUGCUCCCGGAUGUUAGCGGCGGACGGGUGAAAGUAACACGUGGGUAACCUGCCUGUAAGACUGGGAUAACUCCGGGAAACCGGAGCUAAUACCGGAUAGUUCCUUGAACCGCAUGGUUCAAGGAUGAAAGACGGUUUCGGCUGUCACUUACAGAUGGACCCGCGGCGCAUUAGCUAGUUGGUGGGGUAAUGGCUCACCAAGGCGACGAUGCGUAGCCGACCUGAGAGGGUGAUCGGCCACACUGGGACUGAGACACGGCCCAGACUCCUACGGGAGGCAGCAGUAGGGAAUCUUCCGCAAUGGACGAAAGUCUGACGGAGCAACGCCGCGUGAGUGAUGAAGGUUUUCGGAUCGUAAAGCUCUGUUGUUAGGGAAGAACAAGUGCGAGAGUAACUGCUCGCACCUUGACGGUACCUAACCCAGAAAGCCACCGGCUUAACUACGUGGCCAGCAGCCGCGGGUAAUACGUAGGUGGGCAAGCGUUGUCCGGAAUUAUUGGGCGUAAAGGGCUCGCAGGCGGUUUCUUAAGUCUGAUGUGAAAGCCCCCGGCUCAACCGGGGAGGGUCAUUGGAAACUGGGAAACUUGAGUGCAGAAGAGGAGAGUGGAAUUCCACGUGUAGCGGUGAAAUGCGUAGAGAUGUGGAGGAACACCAGUGGCGAAGGCGACUCUCUGGUCUGUAACUGACGCUGAGGAGCGAAAGCGUGGGGAGCGAACAGGAUUAGAUACCCUGGUAGUCCACGCCGUAAACGAUGAGUGCUAAGUGUUAGGGGGUUUCCGCCCCUUAGUGCUGCAGCUAACGCAUUAAGCACUCCGCCUGGGGAGUACGGUCGCAAGACUGAAACUCAAAGGAAUUGACGGGGGCCCGCACAAGCGGUGGAGCAUGUGGUUUAAUUCGAAGCAACGCGAAGAACCUUACCAGGUCUUGACAUCCUCUGACAACCCUAGAGAUAGGGCUUUCCCUUCGGGGACAGAGUGACAGGUGGUGCAUGGUUGUCGUCAGCUCGUGUCGUGAGAUGUUGGGUUAAGUCCCGCAACGAGCGCAACCCUUGAUCUUAGUUGCCAGCAUUCAGUUGGGCACUCUAAGGUGACUGCCGGUGACAAACCGGAGGAAGGUGGGGAUGACGUCAAAUCAUCAUGCCCCUUAUGACCUGGGCUACACACGUGCUACAAUGGACAGAACAAAGGGCUGCAAGACCGCAAGGUUUAGCCAAUCCCAUAAAUCUGUUCUCAGUUCGGAUCGCAGUCUGCAACUCGACUGCGUGAAGCUGGAAUCGCUAGUAAUCGCGGAUCAGCAUGCCGCGGUGAAUACGUUCCCGGGCCUUGUACACACCGCCCGUCACACCACGAGAGUUUGCAACACCCGAAGUCGGUGAGGUAACCUUUAUGGAGCCAGCCGCCGAAGGUGGGGCAGAUGAUUGGGGUGAAGUCG